This 1452-nucleotide ribosomal RNA is filed under the name uncultured organism. RNAcentral's name for it is "SSU rRNA". It matches the Rfam family "Bacterial small subunit ribosomal RNA". The record is from RNAcentral.
GAACGCUAGCUACAGGCUUAACACAUGCAAGUCGAGGGGCAGUAUGGUCUUAGCUUGCUAAGGCCGAUGGCGACCGGCGCACGGGUGAGUAACACGUAUCCAACCUGCCGUCUACUCUUGGACAGCCUUCUGAAAGGAAGAUUAAUACAAGAUGGCAUCAUGAGUCCGCAUGUUCACAUGAUUAAAGGUAUUCCGGUAGACGAUGGGGAUGCGUUCCAUUAGAUAGUAGGCGGGGUAACGGCCCACCUAGUCUUCGAUGGAUAGGGGUUCUGAGAGGAAGGUCCCCCACAUUGGAACUGAGACACGGUCCAAACUCCUACGGGAGGCAGCAGUGAGGAAUAUUGGUCAAUGGGCGAGAGCCUGAACCAGCCAAGUAGCGUGAAGGAUGACUGCCCUAUGGGUUGUAAACUUCUUUUAUAAAGGAAUAAAGUCGGGUAUGGAUACCCGUUUGCAUGUACUUUAUGAAUAAGGAUCGGCUAACUCCGUGCCAGCAGCCGCGGUAAUACGGAGGAUCCGAGCGUUAUCCGGAUUUAUUGGGUUUAAAGGGAGCGUAGGUGGAUGUUUAAGUCAGUUGUGAAAGUUUGCGGCUCAACCGUAAAAUUGCAGUUGAUACUGGAUAUCUUGAGUGCAGUUGAGGCAGGCGGAAUUCGUGGUGUAGCGGUGAAAUGCUUAGAUAUCACGAAGAACUCCGAUUGCGAAGGCAGCCUGCUAAGCUGCAACUGACAUUGAGGCUCGAAAGUGUGGGUAUCAAACAGGAUUAGAUACCCUGGUAGUCCACACGGUAAACGAUGAAUACUCGCUGUUUGCGAUAUACUGCAAGCGGCCAAGCGAAAGCGUUAAGUAUUCCACCUGGGGAGUACGCCGGCAACGGUGAAACUCAAAGGAAUUGACGGGGGCCCGCACAAGCGGAGGAACAUGUGGUUUAAUUCGAUGAUACGCGAGGAACCUUACCCGGGCUUAAAUUGCAGAUGAAUUACGGUGAAAGCCGUAAGCCGCAAGGCAUCUGUGAAGGUGCUGCAUGGUUGUCGUCAGCUCGUGCCGUGAGGUGUCGGCUUAAGUGCCAUAACGAGCGCAACCCUUGUUGUCAGUUACUAACAGGUUCCGCUGAGGACUCUGACAAGACUGCCAUCGUAAGAUGUGAGGAAGGUGGGGAUGACGUCAAAUCAGCACGGCCCUUACGUCCGGGGCUACACACGUGUUACAAUGGGGGGUACAGAGGGCCGCUACCACGCGAGUGGAUGCCAAUCCCCAAAACCUCUCUCAGUUCGGACUGGAGUCUGCAACCCGACUCCACGAAGCUGGAUUCGCUAGUAAUCGCGCAUCAGCCACGGCGCGGUGAAUACGUUCCCGGGCCUUGUACACACCGCCCGUCAAGCCAUGGGAGCCGGGGGUACCUGAAGUGCGUAACCGCGAGGAGCGCCCUAGGGUAAAACUGGUGACUGGGGCUAAGUC